Molecule: long non-coding RNA, 271 nt
Filed under: Setaria viridis
Lineage: Eukaryota; Viridiplantae; Streptophyta; Magnoliopsida; Poales; Poaceae
Description: long non-coding RNA (SVIR_LNC008565)
Source: RNAcentral
AUGUGUUUGUGCAUAGCCUUUUUAAUAUCAUUAUUAGUAGCUCUCUCUUAGUGCUCAAGCCUUCAAGGGAUAAAAAGACACAUAGCACUAGCAGCUAUAUCUAGAAGAAAUGGAAGGAGCAUAUCUGUAAGUAGUGAUCAUGACGGGGAACCAUGAUCCAUUUGACUUGCAUUCCAUGACCGAGGAACCAUUACACAGUCACCAGAAAGUUUAUGCUUGAUAGUCAUGAUUACACGAGUGUUGGAUGAUGAUCGAUGGUCAAAUGCAACCG